GGAGAUGUGACUCAGAGGUAGAGCACCUGUCUAGCAAACAAGAGUCCCUGUGUUCAAAACCCAGUACUUCCA
This 72-nucleotide transfer RNA is filed under the name Dipodomys ordii (Ord's kangaroo rat). It matches the Rfam family "tRNA". Rfam says of the family: Transfer RNA (tRNA) molecules are approximately 80 nucleotides in length. Lineage: Eukaryota; Metazoa; Chordata; Mammalia; Rodentia; Heteromyidae. The record is from Rfam by way of RNAcentral.